ACCUGUUUGUUGCAGGAUUCAGUCGGCUGAGACAUCACUUUUGGGGAACAUUGAAGAAGAGAUCCAGUGUUGAAUUAGUCAUGUCUAAUGAAAUGCACUGAUAUAUGAUAAAUACCUAGCAUAUGGGCACACAACAAAUGCACCAUUCAUGCCCACUCUUUCCAGAAGGCACAUUGACAGUUCUCGUCUUUACUCACUGCCUGAACCUUUCCUUACCCUUUGACCAAACCUAACCACUUCUUACCUUUUUCUUUUGUUUUGCUUUGUUUUUCUGCAUCUCUAGGUAUUUGCCUCUGUUGCUCCCUUUGCCUGGAAGCUUACCUAGUCCCAUCCAUGCCUUUGGAAAUCACGCGAAAAUGCUUCGAGCUGGAUCCCACGUGUCAUCACCUCAACAAAAGCCUUUCCCUGAGCUGUUUAACCGACCGUGCUUCCUCAAAACAGUGCUUUUUUUACAUUAAAUGUUUUUGGCCACCCUAGCCCACUAAACACCCCCGAAGUUCCACAAUUUCUGCUGAGUUUACCCAGAUUGCUCAUGGAAGAGCCAACCUUUCGCUCUUCCAGCCCUGUGGGGUCAUACGGCUUCUUCACAUGCUUCACAAUCCACCUACUCGUGUAGUUUUCUCAAAUGCUAUUGGACGGUGUUUUCUUUGUGAUCAUUUUUCUCUGGACACGUCUUGGUUUGAUGAUUUGAUUCCAUGUUUGGGUUUUUAAUUCUUUUUUUUUAUUGUCUGAUAAAGGUUGCGAGGUUCCAAGAAACCAUCUGCGUGAUUCACUUUGUAUAAGGCCGUGCAAAAUUAGGCUCCCAAUAAUUUUUAAUGAUGAAUGCCCCCUUUUAAAAGGCAAACAAGAACUGUGGUUCUUUCCAUUUAAUAUCGAUUGCUGGCUAGGUUUGCUUCAUUGUGCUGUAAGGGAUUUGACUGGAUUAGUGUUUGUCCUGUUAUGACUUGUUAUGAUGUGUUUCCAGAAAAGAGAAGAAAGGGAAAGGAAAAUGUCUUCAUAGGUUUCUUGCAUCGUUUGUUCUAUGGCUGACUCAAUAUUAGGAAGCUUGCUUCCACUUUAGUCGUAUAACCGUAUCCUAGACCAAAGAUGUAUAUGGUCAGGUCAAAGAACGUGUUAUCGUUGAGCAUGCUCCGAUGUUAGCGAAAGCUGUGUUCCAAGUGUAUCGCACUAUGUACACUAAGGUCAUGACCGCUCACACCAACAGUCAAUGUUAUCGGGCACUUAGAAAAGAGUGCACAUCACAUAACUCGUCAAUGUACUUAGAUGGUUAAGAUAAACCCAACGCCUCAGUCUUGGUAUGUUGCGAUAGUCCACGCCAAGAAGGUAAACAAAGUUUAUAAAAAGUUCCUUUUCACGUGUUCUGUGUGAAAUCUGCUGGCACCUUCAAUUCUGACUAACUAUUUCAAUACAGCUUCCUCUAUCACAGCUGGUUGCCUGUGAAUGAGAAAUAUUUAAAUACACUGCUAAAUUUUCUAAA
Molecule: long non-coding RNA, 1477 nt
Filed under: Felis catus (domestic cat)
Lineage: Eukaryota; Metazoa; Chordata; Mammalia; Carnivora; Felidae
Description: lncRNA (ENSFCAG00000045601.2)
Source: RNAcentral